This is a long non-coding RNA of Notothenia coriiceps (black rockcod), 1519 nucleotides long. RefSeq lists it as uncharacterized. The transcript has 5 exons. The record is from RefSeq and is a predicted model, not a curated record. Lineage: Eukaryota; Metazoa; Chordata; Actinopteri; Perciformes; Nototheniidae.
GUGGCUCUGCCGUGGUGCACUUGAGCAAGGCACCGGACAAUCGCUGCAACUCCAGAGUGAAUAUUUCUCAGAACAACAGCAGCGGUGGACUAUGUUCGAGCUGUGCUCAUGUUGCUAUUCCACCCUUAUACUUUAACGUGGCUAUAAGGAUGCCUCUGUAAAUCAGAGCAGUUUAAUUUACAUUGUUUGGCGACAUACUGCCGUAGAUAAAGGAUUGUAUAUUAUGAGGUUUCUCUUGUCUUACAUGGAAAAUGUUAGCCUAGCCCUAAAGCCAGUCUGACUAAUCAAUAACAAGAUUUAGAGCCAACAAAAUAAAUAAGAGAUGAAUUGUUUAUGGCGUGUUUAAUGGAAGAACGCAUUACAUGUUAUAUAAAACUCCACCUUGCAGAACAUUAAUCAGGCAUACUUAUGGCAUAUUCCUUAUUCACCAAAAGCUUUCAAUGAGAUACUUGUUGCUCCCACAAUGAUAGAAAACAGGUUGUAAUCACAUGCAUGUUCAAUAAUAGAUUAUAGUUCACACGUUGAUAUAUUAUUUGCUGUUCAGCCUCCGACGUUGUGCCGAUGCCACUACAGUAAAAACAUAAAAAACUCUCAGUGGAAAAGGGAAAUAUAGAAGAGUAACUGCUCCACCUUUAUUCACUGUACUGCUCGUGCCCCUCUUGUUUCAGAUGUGUUCUCCUCAUUGAAUCCUUGUUUUCCUGCAGACUCUGGAGUGUGUGAGGGCGUGGUGUGUGAGGGUGUGGUGUUGACCAGCGACUCAGAGAGCGAGAUCUUCUGUGACUCAGUUGACUCUGUGGAGCAGCUCAGCAACAUCAAGUUGACCGUUGUGAAGACCAAUGGUUUUCCCAAUGGCCACGUGUCCUCUGAGUCGUGUCCUGUUCAGAGCCUCCAGCUGGAAGGCCGUCUGGAGGUGAGGCAGGUGGGGGCUGGGCAGGGUGGAGAGGGGGCGGAGGACGGGAAGGGCCCCCAGCGGAGGAGCAGAGACACAGGAAGGGAAGCUCCACACCACAACUGGAGAGAACGUGGUGUUCCUCAGGGCAGUCCCAGGAGGGGGGGGAGGGGGGGGAGAGGUGGUGGCCGAGGCCGGCCUGAGUGGCGGCUGGAGAUGCUCUGAGGGGGGGUGGAGAGGCUGCACGAGGCCCAGCUGCAGCAGCAGAUUGUGCUGGCGCUGCGCCGGCUGAGGGAGGACAUGAGGAGCGUGAUGGAGCGGUUGGAGGCGGUGGAGCGGCUCGCUGCCACACAUGCUCAGGGGUCAGAGUGGAGAACGUGCGCACAGUGUGCCACCGCAGCUGCAAAACAGCAGGUGCCAUCAACAAUCUAGACUUGGGGCAGCGUGGUUCCAUCGGCCUACAGACACCAUCAAUUAGUUUCACUGAAUCUAUUUAGAAAUAUAUGCAACUCCUUUAAGAGCACCUCAAGUAUUUUCAGUUUCUUAGACAUUUCAGGUGAACGUAUUACUUCAAAGUCUCAGAGAAUACAUUUAUGUUGUUUUUUCUAGGGCCGGGACUCGAUUAAAAAA